RNAcentral lists this ribosomal RNA (137 nucleotides) under uncultured bacterium. RNAcentral describes it as "partial 16S ribosomal RNA". It matches the Rfam family "Bacterial small subunit ribosomal RNA", at positions 355 to 509 of the family's 1533-position model. The record is from RNAcentral.
UGGGGGAUAUUGCACAAUGGGGGGAACCCUGAUGCAGCGACGCCGCGUGGGUGAAGAAGCGCCUCGGCGCGUAAAUCCCUGUCAGCAGGGAAGAAAAUGACGGUACCUGAAGAAGAAGCCCCGGCUAACUACGUGCC